CACGACUGGUUCCCCGACAGCUCAGCCCGCACCGGGCCUCCACCGCCCGCGCCUCCGGUCUCCCCACCCCGUCCACACCCCGUUCCCAGCCUCCCCUCGCUCUUGGUGGGGAUGCUGAUCGGCCGAGAGCUGUCCCUGGAAAUGUCCCCGUGCACCUGCUUGUCCAUGCUGGGAAAGCUGGGAGGAAACCCGAGCUGUGGAAUUAAACCGAAAUUUAAGACUCAUCCCAAUAUCCAUGUCCCCCUGCCCUCCCUUUCCUAAGCAUUUUUUAAAAUGCAAAAACCAAAACGCACAUAAAUUUCCGGGUUGAUGAGAAUUUAUUAUUCUGCUGAGUCAGCACAGGUCACACCGUGUGGCAAAUUCCGCGCGGGGCGGGGUAGUCUCGCGUGUGUGAAGCCUGCGUGUAUGCACCGUGUGUGUGCCUGUGUGCACUGUGCGUGCACUGUGUGUGUGGACCAUGUAUGUGCACGUGUGCACCGCGUGUGUGCACCCGUUGGAAACCUGGUGCUGAAACACGGCAGGGCUUAGGCUGGAGUCCUACCUUCAUCGUUUUCACUCGUCCUGUUUCAUCGGUAAGAUAGGUGAUGCUUUGGGUUUUGCCCCCGCCCCCCACAGGGGUGGUGAAUGAAACUGUAACGAUCUCCAGGUCAUAUGGGAGAAAGCAGUAGAUGCUCUCUUAGGAAAUGUAGAUUUAACCAAAGGUUUUAGAGCUGAUUUAUUUUGUUACAGGUGGGUGGGGGCAUCUGACUUGCUUCUCUGAAGUUUCUCACUAGCUGACCCUGUCCCAUUCAAAUUAAGAAGUUCAUAAGCAAAGGGGGUUUCUUGGGCUUGGGGGUUGUAACGGGAGUGAGGUGAACAGCGAGUGGAUGGGUGGCUGUGAGUGUGGAACUUAAUGUCAUUCACCCCCACAGGGACGUCCUUUCUGCCCAGCAGUAGAAUUUUGCAAUAGUUCAGUAGACUGGAAGAUUUUGAUUAUUUUAAGUUGGCUAGUGUGAACUUUUUUUUUUUUUUUUUUUUUUUUGGUACCGGGGAUCCAACUCGGAAUCUUGCUCUUGUGAGGCAGGCACUGGAACCACUGAGCUAAAUCCUUGGCCUAGUGUGAACUUUUAAAAGAGAAAGAAGCAGUAGAGGAGAAAAAUUGGCAGGUAACCCAGUUGAGCUCCUGUGCUGGGGGGAGGCCGGAGUGCAGUGGCCAGGGUCAGGGUGAGGCUAAGUGUGGGCUUGACAGUCCUUACAUCCCUGGCACCCCUGCAGGCCAAGGUAGGUGGUCCCCUACCCCUAAGGCCUGGCAAUAGGAAGGCUGUGAGGGCCUGGCAUCGCCAGCUUGUGUUUUCGGCCUCUUUCUGACAUUUGGGGGCAGUGGAGCAGGCGAGCACCCCUGAAAUGGAUCCCAGCACCUCACAGGCGAGCAGCGAAGUUUGGCGGUAGCGAGCGGUCGAGCCGGGGGCCCGGGCGCGGAGCAUGCAGGCCGGGCGGGCGCGGGG
Molecule: long non-coding RNA, 1484 nt
Filed under: Heterocephalus glaber (naked mole-rat)
Lineage: Eukaryota; Metazoa; Chordata; Mammalia; Rodentia; Bathyergidae
Description: lncRNA (ENSHGLG00100033703.1)
Source: RNAcentral